AACCGUCUAAGAUAUUCUCUUUCGUAUCGCUACCUAUAUAAAGCAGCCUCUGACUUCUUAUGGCAGUAGUAUCAACAGAGCAAUCUACAGUACACCACCAUGAAUAAGUUAACACUCGCUUUCGCUCUCGCAAUUUUUGCCUUUGUGGUCAGCUCUCAAGCUAAUUCGUUGCCGGUUGGAGAAGAAGAUUUGCAUGUGGUAGAGCUCACUCAACCAGAUGACGUUCGUAUCAAAAGGUCCAAUUGCAAGGGUGGUAUUUGCACUAAAGAAUGUUGUACUGCCUACUGUAAAAGUCGGGGCUACAGAUACGGGUCCUGUCAUUAUAACGGCCCCUGUGUGUGCCAAAAUUAUUACAUUGCAUGAUUAAGUACAUAUUUAGUCAAUGACGCCGUUAAGAAUGUAACAAAACAAUAAAAUUAUUUUAUUGCA
Long non-coding RNA from Zophobas morio, 429 nucleotides. RefSeq lists it as uncharacterized. The transcript is spliced from 2 exons. NCBI's taxonomy places the organism in Eukaryota, Metazoa, Arthropoda, Insecta, Coleoptera, Tenebrionidae. The record is from RefSeq and is a predicted model, not a curated record.